This 497-nucleotide ribosomal RNA is filed under the name uncultured bacterium. Its description in RNAcentral is "partial 16S ribosomal RNA". It matches the Rfam family "Bacterial small subunit ribosomal RNA", at positions 28 to 507 of the family's 1533-position model. The record is from RNAcentral.
GAUGAACGCUGGCGGCGUGCCUAAUACAUGCAAGUCGAGCGAACAGACGAGGAGCUUGCUCCUCUGACGUUAGCGGCUGACGGGUGAGUAACACGUGGAUAACCUACCUAUAAGACUGGGAUAACUUCGGGAAACAAGAGCUAAUACCGGAUAAUAUAUUGAACCGCAUGGUUCAAUAGUUAAAGACGGUUUUGCUGUCACUUAUAGAUGGAUCCGCGCCGCAUUAGCUAGUUGGUAAGGUAACGGCUUACCAAGGCAACGAUGCGUAGCCGACCUGAGAGGGUGAUCGGCCACACUGGAACUGAGACACGGUCCAGACUCCUACGGGAGGCAGCAGUAGGGAAUAUUCCGCAAUGGGCGAAAGCUUGACGGAGCAACGCCGCGUGAGUGAUGAAGGUCUUCGGAUCGUAAAACUCUGUUAUUAGGGAAGAACAAAUGUGUAAGUAACUAUGCACGUCUUGACGGUACCUAAUGAGAAAGCCACGGCUAACUACGUG